RNAcentral lists this small RNA (127 nucleotides) under Arabidopsis thaliana (thale cress). RNAcentral's name for it is "ATSL016520". The record is from RNAcentral. Lineage: Eukaryota; Viridiplantae; Streptophyta; Magnoliopsida; Brassicales; Brassicaceae.
AAAUUUGCUAUAAAAUCGAGAUGCUAGAAAGGAAAAGAAAUCAUAUAUAUAAAAGUUGACCAAUUUUUUCCUUAUGAAUGACACAUCAUCACACCAGUGAAUGCUACAUAUCAUUCUAAAUUAAUAU